Molecule: long non-coding RNA, 9775 nt
Organism: Aquila chrysaetos chrysaetos
Lineage: Eukaryota; Metazoa; Chordata; Aves; Accipitriformes; Accipitridae
Exons: 3
Source: RefSeq, a predicted model, not a curated record
GACAUUAGCAUAAAUAAACAUUCCUUUCAGAGGCCGUUGUUACACAUCCCUAUUUUUAAACAAACAAUGUGUGAAAGACAAAAGGUAAAUAUUGUUCAACAAACAACUGGAUAAAAUAAUGUUAAACUUUCUCAACGUGUUGGACAUUUCCAUUAAUUUGUUUACACGCCAUUUAUGUAGAUGCAAUUUUAUCUAGAAAUGGCCUGACUCUUGAGAACCUAUUUCUUCAUAAUAGAAGGUUUUUCAUACUCACUCAAUUAAUCUAAUGGAGUUGAGCUAGGUCAGUCCAAUUCCUAUAUCCUGACACGUCUGAAAAUGGGCAUGCAUCUUCAAAUACAGACUUUGGGAUUAGCUCUUAUUUCUGUCAUUAAACAAACAGAAAUGUCAGAUCCAAACAAUGUCAGACUUUGCAGGUUAAAGAUUUGGGAUCCCCUAGAUUUCAAGUCAUCUAAUAUACGUGUACCACCUAUGGAACAGUUGUACAGCUGUCUUCUUAAGGCUUGGGUUUUACAGGAAAUUAAGUAAAUGUAUGUAUAUAAUCCCCUUGAAGUUGCCUGGCCCAUUACUGCUGUGUGUAGAGAGGAAGGUCUCUGGGUUGUGGGAUGUUACAAGCUCAUGUACGCAAGGCUGGUGGGAAAAGCGCACAGACAUAUUCAUGAGAGGGUAGGCAAGGAUAAACAAGAUGUUGAAUUACACUUUGCCAAAUGAAGGGCUCAGAGCAGCCAAGGAAAAUCUUUUUGUUUUCCCCUCACAAAAUUAGACCUUUGUUUUUGUCUUAGGCACUGUGGCUAGCAGAGCUGUAAGGACAUUCAGUUAUCAUAGUUGCCGUCAUUCUCUGAAAUCUGUCCUUGAUUUUAUUUUCUGCUCCAGGAAAUAUUAUAGUAUUGUCAUUUUAUCUAUAUUAAAAAAACCUAAGGCCAGAUUCCUCAUGGUGUAAACAAGCAUGACUUCAGGAAAGCAAUGCUGAUUCACGCCAUCCGAGUGUCUGAUUUUUAAAAUAAAAGGGAACAUGUUACAAGAGAGUAAACAGAAGCAAAUAUUUUUUACAGAAACACGUCAUCAACAUAGCCCCCCCCCCCCCCAGGAUUUAGCAGGAAAAAAAAUAGCUAAGGUAGAUUUACAGAAGCCACCACUUUUUUUUUUAAUGAUUUGGAUAUUGAUCAUUUUUAAUCUUCUUCUCAGAACAACCAGCAGAUCUAUUAUAGCUUGAGCCAGCCAUGAAAAUCGGGUCUGUUCUUUAACCUGCCCCAAUUCACUUGGACAUAUUUUAUAUCUCCAGGGAUUCAGCCACGAAGUCCAUUAGAGCAUCAGAUGCUGUGAGGUCAAAUCAAUUGUCCAUACUGCAGACAAGGUAACCAUCAUUUACUGUAAUUCUCCCCCGUCAUGGUAGAGGAGAGGAAAGGUUAAAAGCUGUAUUACCACGAGGCUGUCUCAUCUGUCUUUCAGUAUAUUGGUAAUACCUAAACAUUGCUUAAAGAACUCAAUGUACAAUCUUAAAUCUGCGUUAAACUGGAUUUAAUGGUUAGAUUGCCAAAUCAACAAAUUUGCUAAUGAUUUUUUCUUCAGGGAGGAGCAGAAAAAAUACAACUUUUAAAAGAAAAAGUGAAAAACUUUAAAUAUAUUGUCACGUCCGACACAACACAUCCAAAGCUAAACUGAACCUUCAUCUUGGGAUGACCUGAAUGACUGAUAUUUAUCCUUCCCUAUACAUAGAUAUAUUUACCUAUGAAGUAAUUUGCUGUCAUCUCUUUAAGUUGGAGAUGCUACGACAGUCCAAAAACAAAAGAGGAAGUAAAUUCAGGAUGUAUAUUUUGCACUGUAAAUCAAGUCCUUAUGUAUUUGCACUCUAGGAUGGGCACUAAUAAUUGACUGAAGCAAUCACUGCUGUGGGAAAACAAACGUCCUAGUGGUGUCGCAUCUGAAGGUCAAGCCUGAUGACAUAGUAAGCACCUGAACUCUCACUGACUCCUGGGGAGGCAGUGGAUGCAGAGUACUUCCCGGAGCUUGCCUGGCAAGGACAGAUUUACACAGCUACUGGGGCUGGGGAUGAGGAUGCUUUUUUGCUCCCACCUCCCUCCAUUGGGUCUGCAAAGUCAUUUUCUUCCAUUACAGUGCCAUGCCAUCUCUCCGACUCCUGCGCUCCGUGCAUUAACUGCAUGAAACCAGAGAGAAAAUGCAGUUCUGUGCCAUGGACUGCAUAUUCCUCCUGCUCUGAACAAUUGCAGUGUGGCCCUGAUUAGUGUGACAUGAGCUGAUGUGCAUGUAGGGGAACUGUGCCCACUCCUGCUAUGCAUGUGAGAGCUAUGACACCAUGGCCCGGUUCUUGUAGGACUCCUCUGUUGAAGUGGGAAGCAAUAAUGAAGCUCAGAUUUAUCCACUUGACUUGCCUGUUUGCCUUUUCUAGGUUAAUCUUUUCUCUUUCCCUGGAUUUCUUUAAUCCUGGGUUGCUUUCAUUAGGAAAUUGAUUGAAGAUUGAAGUAGCUAUUGAGAUUUUCCAUAUUCCAGAAUCUUUUCACAGCUGUAGAAGUUAGUAAAUUUUUUUGUGUGUGUGUGUUUCAGAAGCUGAGCUGCUGAGCAAACAUACACAUGGAUUUAAAAUAGAGCCAAAGUUGUAAGUAAUAGAAGAUAGUCAAACAGUGUUAUUCUAGCAUAAGUGUCUCAAAUAUAUUUCUGCAGCUGUCAUAUAUCCAUGAUAUUCUUCUUGGGAGACAAUGGGAUGAAUUUAGUGGGAGUGUAAGAGUCGGUGUAGGUUAAAUAUUAAUAAAUAUUUUUAUUAUGAAGCCUAUUUUAAGGUUUUAGUUAGGGUUUAAUGCCCAGCACAGUAAGUUCUAACUUCAGAUAAUGAGGGUAUUCAGUAACCAUAAAAGGAAACUAGUAAAAGUUUUGUGUGUUCUGAAGGAGAGAUAAAUAUGCUUUAGAUUAGGUGUUACAUACCAUUCACUUAACUGCUUUGCUUCUUCUGUUCCCUCUUUUUAUGAUUUACCUUAACACAGACUCUGUGUGGCUUCUUUUCCUCAGUUUGUUACCCAUCACCUCUGAAUUCAUCCCUGUGAGUGUCUAUUCACAGGUCCUUUGCAUAUCCUUACAGCAGUGCAGAUUGGCGUUGUGUCAUUAAAGUAAUGCCACCAUUAUAAAUACAUAGCGGGCAACUCUUUACAAAAAUCAAGCACUAAAAAAUCUAAAUCUUUUUCAUUUUGAUAUAGAAAUUCAGAAAUAAAUAAGGGGAAUGUAAAGCUAAGAAAGAAAUAAAUUCAUCCAAGUCUGGAAAGAAAUGAAGGGUUAAAAAGAUGCUUUCCUUCAUAAUAGCACAAAAUUAAGACUGCAUGCAGCUUGCAUGCUCUGUUGCUUUCCUUGUUCUGGAGUACCUCUCGGAUAGCUCGCAGCUUAGUAGUGCCCUCUCUGCUGGUACAUACUCUGCAAUGCUAAUUCAGAGAAUGGUCCGCUGGGUUACUUAACUGAAACCAGAGUCUCAAAAAAGAUCAGACAAGCUUUGCUGUUCUUUGGCUUCAAUGGGUAUCACAGCACUGACUGAAAGAGCACUGAACUUAAUAGAAAGGAUUUGGAUCUGGAAAAAUGCUUACUGAAAUCAAUGAGAGAAAGCUUUAACUCCAACAGUUAACACUUCAUUCUGGCUGUGUUCUCAAUAGAUACAAGCAUUGGCUCUGUAAUGCCUAGUCAUUUUUUUAAGAUCAAUACAACAAACCUAAAUUGUGCAACGGAUGUGUAUUUACUAUCUGCUGUGUUAGCAUUAGAAGUCAGAUCAGGCUUUUGAAAAAUAAGUAUUUGAUUUUACAAUAAUUGCACCCUGUGCAGCAAACAAAUGUAUUUUUAGGGAAAUCUCUUUAACCAGGAAAAUCACUAAGGAAUUCCUCAAGAGUUAUGUAUAGCUCUUAGUUGACAGACUUCCUUAAAGAACUCCUUUUUCUAUGUCUACAGUAAUUAAAAUAAAAGUUGUUCUUUGAGUAUUUGCCAUUGGCAAGAUGUAUUUAGUUUAAUUUUCUCCAAAUGCUAAAGAGGUUGCUACAGUUAUGGGGAAGUAGUUAGGUCUUGUGAACAUGAGAGAGAUCCAGAUUCUCUGAAUUUGCUGAAAGGUGAUAUAAUCAAGCAGACCUUUCUUAUUCUCCUGGUCACUCUGAGGGAGCGUAGUAAUUGCCUGCUUGUUGCGUCAGUAGUCAGUGUCCUGGAAGCCGAGUUAAUGGCAUGACAGAUGUGGCAUUACAGAGAACAUCAGUGUGGGGCUUUAGGGAUAAAAUUCUCCUCUAAAUAACCAAAAAAGGCACUCCUGAUUACAAAACCCGGUGAGAUUAGACAGAAGUGCUCUGAAAACAUGCAUGAAAAAAGCAGAAGAGAAGUGCGUUUGUAAGCAAGUCUUAACCUGGGUGCAACUUGGGUUGUGUCACAGCAUGACUGUUUCACAUUAAAGAUGAAACACAAAAGCUCUAGCAGGAUGUUAUCAACAUAAUCUUUUCUUUUGAGAAGUAACCUGCUGUGUUAAAACUGAAACAAUUAUUAAUGAAAGACAUCUUAUAUCUAUAUAAAAAUGUUUCUUACAGUGCUAUAGGCCACCAGAGAAGACUGUAUGGCCCCUUCUUCUUUCCUUCUUUUUUUUUAAAAAGCAAUAAAUAGGGUGAAAAUUAGUAACUGUAGAUUACCUGGAGUUUCUUGGCAUUUACAGAUAAUUUCAAACUAAUAUGGAAAGUUUUGGAGGUUCUCUUUACUUAAGUAUGCACCUCCACAGAAUGCAUUUUUAGUGAGUCAGUUUUGCCUUGUGCUGAAGUCCCUCCUACUUGCCCCAGUCUACAAUAUAUCAUCCUCCAAUAUGUCACUGGGAAGUCUUAUUUAUAACAGAUUAUCCAGUAGUGUUUUCUGUUUGAAUCUCUUGACUUGGUGCUCUCUGAUGUCCAAACUGAGUGAAUCACAGAAGAAAGUUGGGGCCCUCAAGCUUUCAUAAGGCUAUUUAAGCCUUUUGAGUCUGAAAUAAUGGAUGAAAAAUAAAAAAAAAAUUCAAAUUAGAUAUACAGUUUUAAUUUCUGCUGAAUUCCUGAUGUUCAAAGCAUGAAAAAGGCACUGGUGUUCGUGACCAGAUGAAGAACAACUAGCUUAAAAAGAACACACAUACAACCCAAACCUAAGUGAUGAAUUAAACUUUUUGGCAUUUGCUUUGGGAUUGGAUUUUGGGCUGAAAUGUGUUGUACAAGUUCUUCAAAAGCUGAGGAGAAGGCACAGCAACCAGUGAGGGAAGGUUCUUGCUUUUCACAGAUCCAUCUGCCUUGCUUAUGAAUUUGUUAUUAGCUGCCUUGGAUGAUGAUUAAAAGAUCAAUGUAUAUUUGUCCAAACAUGGUGAGAAAAUGUAUCAAACUAUCCUGAAAGAUCUUCCAUUUUUUUACAAGUUCAGUUUAAACCAAUUUGUCAGAUCAAUUCAAGGACAAAAUUUACCAAGCUUUUGAAAAACAGAAAAGCAGUAGAAAUAUUUCCAUCAAUUAGAAGAAAAAAAUCUAUUUGAUUUUGUCCUCAGUAUCCUCACUUCCAGCUCUGAGUUCAGUGUUAAUAUAAUCCACCACUGAAUGGAAAUUUGAAUGAGAAAUUUGCUUUAAACAAAACUAAUUUAUUUUCAUUACUGAAACUGAGGAAAAUGCAAGCUAUGUGACAGGGAAUUUUUUUGUAAAAAAAUGUAAAACAUAGGAAAAAACAAGGAAAUGAGGUGUUUUUAAAAUAUUUUUUAACUAUGCAAGAUAUCCCUUUAAGCACAGCGUGGGAUAUAACAUUAAUCUUAUUUGUCUGUGAUCUAAAAAACUGUAUAUAUUUCCUCAUAGACAGGACUUUGCUACAUUACCUCAUUUUUACCCACAGAAGCCAAACUGCUAGAUUUUUGGAGACUGCUGGCAAUAAAUUUUUUCUCUGACAAUUAGUUCAUUACUAAUCUUGACCAUCUCUCCAAUGAACUCAUGAAGAACUUUAAUAUUGAAAAGCACCUCGUAAAUAAUUUACAAUAAACCUGAACGAAUAUUGAGCAUUUCUAAAUAUGACCUCCCUUUGCAGGAUUUGCCUCUCUUUUAGCUUUUCUUCCUGAACCUUUGCUACAAUUAUCUUUAAAUCUCCAUGAAAGAAGCCAAAGAAAUGGGAACUCAGGUUUGUAGUAAUAUUAGUUGUCUUACUAAUGGAUAUUCUAUAGCUUGUCCUUUUUUCCACUUCCUCUUACCUGGUCCUUUCAUAACUCAGACAGUCAGACAGACUCUUAAAUACCCUUUGGUUGGAGCCAAGGGGUCUUACAAAUGUAAUUUAUACAGUAGUUGAUGAUUUAAAUGGCAAACCCCCCAAAUCUCGUGCUUUUUAAAAACUUAAAUCUGUCUGGAUCUCAUUAAUGAAAGUUCUUGACUACAGGAGAAACUCCCUCCUCUUUUUUUGGAAAACUAUUCAUGUAUUCAUGAGAUCCAGCUCUUCUUUUCAAAAAAUACUUUGGAAUCAUGGUUUUAUCUGUUGUUUUUUGUCCAGUGGACUCAGCCAAAACCUUGCCAGUGGUGACGUAGGAUGAUGUCAGUGGGGAGACUUCAUGAUGACCACACUGUCAAGACAAACAGUGCAAACAGUGCAUAACAGGAAUUCCAGGGAAUAGUGGAUUUAUCUUAACACUCAGACUGAGAAACUGCUAAGCAUCUAUUUUAAAAAAAAAAAAAAAAAGUUAAAAAGGGCAGCUGCAUAUUAGGGCCAAACCUUUGCCCAUGGAUAGAUCUUUGCUACUUUUCUGCUACUUUGCUAUUCCAUUCUGACUGUAUGGAAAUCAGAACAUGACAACUUUGCCUUAGCCAUAAUAUCUAAGAAAGCCUAUGAGAAUGAAGGGUGAAACCAGCUUGCCUCCAUUUGGGAACAGCUGAGGCUAUCUGAUGGUAAACAGCUUGUGUGUUAAUUUGUGGAUAAAGCUAUCCUGAUGCAGAUUGUCAAGUUGUUUAUUCGUGGGGUCAUAACUUGAGGAGAGAUAAGGUUUCACUGAUCUACUCCCUGCAUAGAUUUCAGCAGUUAUUACUUGUUGAAGGUUCUAAAUGAGAAUUGACUCAUACUGGUGGCUAAGUCUCAUUUUUCCAAAAGAAGGUGACAAUGCCUCUGUGAAAGAUUCUAUAGGAGGGACAGGCUUAUUUUAUUUAUUAUAAUUUUGUGAAAUCCACCAGUGUCUACUCCUUUUCUUUUGAAUUUGGCAUAAGGAUAGCUGAGAAGUCUGGGGUAAAGCAAGAUCAGUGGUGCUUCUUUUUGCCUCAUCCUGCUCUGUUUUGCAAAGAUUAUACAGGUGUGCUUGAGGAGCUCCUAUUGAUAUUUCAGGUCUCUCAAGGCAUCGCUGACUACACCAGAUAUUGUUGAUACAGGCAUCUCUUUUGGAAGGAGAUAGAUUUUCUUUUAAGGGGUUUUACUUUUUUAAUGGAGAGAAGUGCUGGGAAACUGCUUCUUCAACCUGAAGGGUCUAACAAGAUUCAAGCCAGAUUCCACUUGCUUCCCCUCCUUGUUAUGUUCAAUGUAUUAUAACUGCAUUGGAAGUGUUCAGAAAGAAGGCAUAGCUCACUAUAAUAACUUCAAACUUAGCUCUCUGCUUCUGAUUCAUAUACCUGCUGGUUUGGAAAUGAAAAAUGAGUGAUGUCUUAUUUUUCAGCUAAGUAUUAGAAUUAGACAUGGUUUCUGCCUUGUUUCUACUUCUAGUCUUUUUGGGUGUGUGAAGGAGAGAAUGAGAACAAGACAAAGACAUCUAUAAAGAGAAGUGGAAUAUUUCUUUGUUACCAGAACAGAGAUUGUUUCCUCUUUCCAGGUGUGCAUUUUUCAGUGGCUUAGUUGAUGCCAUUAUCCCUUACUUUCCAAGUUUUUUAGCCCUCCAAGAACAGGGAGACAUCAUUAGAGAUACUCUUCUCUAUUCUCCACUAGUACACAGAAAAGCUUCUACUGUGGAGUUGCAAGGUUUGCACUUGCAUUUGCCCUUUCUCAUCCUCCAGCUCUGAGAUAAGCUGUUCCAUUUUCUGGUUGCUAUGUUGUCACAACCAGGCCACGGGGAAGGUGCUGUCCAAGAAAAACAAAUUGGUCAUUCUAACAACGAUCAGCAGGAGUCCAAGUAAAGGAUCUUUUAGCAAUUUCUUAAAGAACUUUGUUUUGUGUAACAGAUACAAACCCAAACUUACUUAAAUGUUACUGAGUUUUGUAUACAUGAAGAAAAGGGACAUCAUCUUGCAAGUGAAGAAAAAUGCUUUUGUAUCCAGUUCAGUUACAGAGACUUCAGAUUCCUGCUGAAGAAGAGAAAGAGUCAGAUGCCCUGCAGUACUGUAACAGUUACCAAACAAUUUCCCAUCUCCAGAGAACAGCAAGAAAGAACCCAUUAGACUUGUCCUGGAAGGCUGAAUGCCCUGUCAGCUGAAUCGUCACACCAGAAUUAUAAUAUUUUAAGAGAACUGCUCCUUUUGGACCUCUGUCAUGUGGUGGCACCACCAGUUCACCAGUAGCCUUUGAGAGUCUGAGGAUAACUACUUUUGAUAUUCAAAGAGGUUAUUUAAUGAUAUACUUUUACACUGAACCUUUAUUGUGCCUUUAAGUAGACUCCACAAGGACUGUGCUAGCUGCUCCUUUAUUUACUUAACCUUGCCAUUUUAAGGUAAAUUGCUGCAAAGCUUGAUAUUUUUGACUUUGUCUUUCUGUGAGGAGUUGAAUUUAAGAAUGGCAAUGUCAGUACAUAAUUCUUGUCCUUAUACUUAGGAAGUUGGCAGCUUAGGUCUGCUAAAUGUAUCUAUUUGACCACUAAGCGGAACUGGCAUCCAGGUAUCUCAGUCAAUGUCUUACCUCAGAUCUCUCUCCUCAGGUAAGCCGUUAGACUAUCACUCCACAGCUAAAUGGUACAGCUGCUCACAGUAGUAAAUGGACUGCUGUGGCACACAACACUAUCUUCUGUGGCAGCUGUGAAAGAACCUUCUCAGGGUUAGACCAUACCCAGCUGAGGUGCUGUGCACAGGUGCUAGAGGAGGCACAGUCCUCAGCUGAAGAAGCUCCAGACAAAAAUAUUAGCUUGAGUUUCCAACUUUUCAAGUUCUGUGAGAAACAGAGCAAAUUAGUCCUUUGGUGAAACGCAACAUGCUAGGACAGGUCUUCUGACCUCAGUGCUUUCAUAUUAUUACACUUGACCAGCUAGCUGAGUAACACGGUAUGGCAUUAUCUGAUUUCUCCAGUGCUUACAGCAAAGUGACUUCAUAAUAAAAGCAUUCACAUUCACCCAUACAACUUCAGAUUUUGCAAGACUGUUAUGUUUCUAAUAAUGAAAAACAUGGCUUUAUUCAGAUGAUAAAGUAGCCAUAAAUAAAGAGCUCAGAGGAGCAGGCUGACAAAUAAACUUUUUAUAUGUUAGGCAUGUAUGGUGAUGUAGUUUGUGGUGACAGCGCAUUGCUCAGAAGAGCAGGUCAUAUGCUGCUUCCUAUUAUACCAAUGUCAGCCCAGAGGAUUUCCAUUGUCUAUAUUUCAACCAGUUCAGCUAAGAUAAAGAUCUCUACACAGGAUUUCAUAGCCUUUUUUUGCCACUGUAUAGUAUUAUUAAAAAAAGAAAGUACUGUAGGGGUCAAAUUACUCUCAGUAUUGUUUCCGAUAAUAAAAGCACUACAAAUGGUUUAGUCUUACCCAUUAAUCAUAAUAAAAUUGUAAAAAAAAAAAGGCUGAAAUGGAUUUCAGUAAGGUACCAAGCCCUUCUCCUGCACUGUUAUGAAACUUAGGCAUGUGACACGAGGCAACGCCUAUCCCAGUGACUGUCACUGGAAACCAGACA